UGUGGGCUGAGACAAUGUUGCCACUGGGUUC
Molecule: non-coding RNA, 31 nt
Filed under: Macaca fascicularis (crab-eating macaque)
Lineage: Eukaryota; Metazoa; Chordata; Mammalia; Primates; Cercopithecidae
Also listed under: 1 other name
Source: RNAcentral